This 497-nucleotide ribosomal RNA is filed under the name uncultured bacterium. Its description in RNAcentral is "partial 16S ribosomal RNA". It matches the Rfam family "Bacterial small subunit ribosomal RNA", at positions 28 to 507 of the family's 1533-position model. The record is from RNAcentral.
GACGAACGCUGGCGGCGUGCCUAAUACAUGCAAGUUGAGCGCUGAAGGUUGGUACUUGUACCAACUGGAUGAGCAGCGAACGGGUGAGUAACGCGUGGGGAAUCUGCCUUUGAGCGGGGGACAACAUUUGGAAACGAAUGCUAAUACCGCAUAAAAACUUUAAACACAAGUUUUAAGUUUGAAAGAUGCAAUUGCAUCACUCAAAGAUGAUCCCGCGUUGUAUUAGCUAGUUGGUGAGGUAAAGGCUCACCAAGGCGAUGAUACAUAGCCGACCUGAGAGGGUGAUCGGCCACAUUGGGACUGAGACACGGCCCAAACUCCUACGGGAGGCAGCAGUAGGGAAUCUUAGGCAAUGGAAGAAAGUCUGACCGAGCAACGCCGCGGGAGUGAAGAAGGUUUUCGGAUCGUAAAACUCUGUUGGUAGAGAAGAACGUUGGUGAGAGUGGAAAGCUCAUCAAGUGACGGUAACUACCCAGAAAGGGACGGCUAACUACGUG